ACGGAGGGUGCAAGCGUUAUCCGGAUUCACUGGGUUUAAAGGGUGCGUAGGAGGGCAGGUAAGUCAGUGGUGAAAUCUUCGAGCUUAACUCGGAAACUGCCGUUGAUACUAUCUGUCUUGAAUACCGUGGAGAUGAGCGGAAUAUGUCGUGUAGCGGUGAAAUGCUUAGAUAUGACAUAGAACACCAAUUGCGAAGGCAGCUCACUACACAGCGAUUGACGCUGAGGCACGAAAGCGUGGGGAUCAAACAGGA
Molecule: ribosomal RNA, 253 nt
Filed under: uncultured prokaryote
Description: partial 16S ribosomal RNA
Rfam family: Bacterial small subunit ribosomal RNA
Source: RNAcentral